This is a long non-coding RNA of Zea mays, 841 nucleotides long. RefSeq lists it as uncharacterized. The transcript is spliced from 3 exons. The record is from RefSeq and is a predicted model, not a curated record. NCBI's taxonomy places the organism in Eukaryota, Viridiplantae, Streptophyta, Magnoliopsida, Poales, Poaceae.
UCUGGUAUGACUACUGACGUUCUGUUGUCCCACCUGCAUCAAAAGGAAAUAGACCAAUUCAGUUACCUUAACCGAAACUAGAUUAACUUAUUAUUUGUGACGGUAAUUUUUUGCAAGUGAAAGCAAGUUACUUCGAUUUGUUCACUGGAUAAAGCAAUAUGGGACCAUUGUUGCUAUCUUUCAGGAUCUUGCCAAAGACUUCCUUAGCAAAUCUGCGGAUGGAGCUCCUCGGUAUUAGAAGAUUCAGCCAAGGAUGUGGAACUUCUCCAAGCUCACCUUCUGGACGAAUGACAAAUAUGAAAUGAGGUUGAGAUAUUACAAGAGCAGCUUUUUCCACGAGACUGGCUGUUGACGGGCCAGUUGUGAAACUACUGAUGUCAUAAAGGAGUAAUGCAUGUGCCUUCUUAGCUCCUAUUCAAUGUUCUGCGUGCAAUGCAUAAAAGAGAGUUGGAUGAAAAGGUUCGUGAUGCACUUCAUCUUUACAUUGAAGCCCGCGGCAUAAAUGAGAAGCUCUUCCGUUUUCUCCAAGCUUGGCUUCAUGUAAAGGAUCACCGCAAUCUUGUACGCUGGUUCAAGAGCGUUGGUUCAUUCAUCAGUGACCAAAGCCAAAGCAAGGUACAUUGCUGUCUUUGCGCAAAGUCGCGCCAGCGAGGAGUUUUGGUUUAUCUUUAGUUUUUAUUUGCCGGGGAAUCAGUGGUCUGGUGGUUGAAUUAGUUAUCAUUAGUCCUUGUGAUCUGCUACCCUAUCAUGCUGAGGUGCUUGUCACAUUCUCAAUUAUUCAAACUCCACAUUUUCCAUCGAAGCGCAAGAAGCACGUAUUGAGAGGCCCUUUUUUUAUCUC